UUAGACUCUGCUUCGCGGCGGCCGCGCCGGAGGCCGUGGACGUGCCGCGGCUGGUGCUCCACUUCGACAGCGCUGGGUCAUGGAGUAGCAGAGCUUGAGCACGGGGGCAGUGCCGCAGAGCUCAGGGAUUACGUCGCAGCUGAACCCGAACCUGAGAUCCACGCACCCCUUCAGCUCCUCCAGGUCGUCGUCGACUCGUCGGUCAGGCUCCGCGCGUGCCGCCGCCGCCGCCAUCGCUCCCGCUCCUCGCCGUACAUGCGCCGCCGCCGAAGACGACGACGCCGCAGGGCUUCUCCUUGGCGACCACCACCGGCUUCGUCCGCCGUGGCCACGCCGCCUCCAACUGUACCCCGCACCACACGUCCUCGGCCUCGACCUAGGCCACCGCUGCCGCUCCGCCCGUGGCCUGCUGCCGUCGCCGCCGCGGUGCUCCGCCCGCCCUUUCGUGGCUCCAACACAUCCCGUCUCUCCCGCCUCCCCUUCUCGAGCUCCAUAUGGCGAGCUGUGCCCGGCGGCGAGAGGACCAUCGCCGCGGCCGUGCAAAUCCGGCAGCUGAGCGGCGUGAUCCAUACGGCGGCGGCGGAGGAGGAGGAGACCGGGAGAUUGGCCGCCGCACGCCGCUCCUCUCCCGCGAGCCGCCGCGCGCUGCUCCUCUUCCACAGGCCGCCGCACACCGCUGCCUCCUCGCCGGUGAAGACUCGGGAGAUGCUCUUUUUCAUCCUCUUCCCGACUCGCCUUCAAGACCUCAUCAUCUACACUAUUGCCAAGCUGAUUAUGUGUGCCAAAGGGAAGAGGAAGGAGCACCUAAGGACAAUAGGCAUGGGAGGCAUCGGGAAAACAUCAAAACAAGUCGACCCCCCUAAUUUAGAGGGGAAGAAGAAUUGGCACUAAACUAGGGUAUGCCAUCAUUUGAACUUGGGGGUCAGACAUGCAAAAGGUAAGCAAAACAUGCUGAACUAAAUGAAAGUUGGAUUCUGGUACCGCUUGGACAACCAAACCGCAGAGUCCUACCAAAUUUUUGUGAGACCAAAGGAAGAGGAAGUAGCACUUAAGAACAAUAGGAAUGGGAGGCACUUUUCCUUCAUGUUCCCAUUUCUACAGCUCUUAUAUAAACCUUCUUUCUCCCUCUUCCCAAUCUCACUCUCAAGGUCCAGCCCAUCGCUCGAAAUGCGGACAUCUUUUCCUACUAGACAAAUGUGCGAGACGAGAAGGAAGGGGAAGGAGCACCCAAGAACAAUAGGAAUGCGAGGCAUCAGAAAAACAAAAAGCCGAACGUCGAAGAAAUUUAGAGCUCAUGCUUUCCACCAUGUUCCUAUUCCCCCUUCUCUUGAUUUCUUGAACCCUCUCAUUCUUUCCCUUCCCUAGCUCACCCUCCCUGCUGCCGAGUGCUGUGCAGAACUCGGAAAAUAAGCUAUGUGAGUGAUGAGCAAUGAGCACUCCUACUGCACGGUGUACCAUACUUCCAGUCCAUAGGACAUAUCAGUGAUGGCAGUGGGACUAUAUGGAUUUUGUGUUGUAAAUGUAGAUGAACACAUUUUUGGCUGUAGGGAAGUGGUCUUCUUCUACUCUUGCAUAUCGACAUACAUGAAAAGCUGACUGUAGGCUAGUCCUGACUCCUGACCCUGAGCUUUGCAUCUACAACCCAAAGAAAAAUAAAUUAAAGGAACAUGGAGCUAGACAC
This 1681-nucleotide long non-coding RNA is filed under the name Oryza sativa Indica Group (long-grained rice). RNAcentral describes it as "lncRNA OsMH63_11G008940". The record is from RNAcentral. Lineage: Eukaryota; Viridiplantae; Streptophyta; Magnoliopsida; Poales; Poaceae.